This 424-nucleotide ribosomal RNA is filed under the name Verrucomicrobiota bacterium. Its description in RNAcentral is "Verrucomicrobia bacterium partial 16S ribosomal RNA". It matches the Rfam family "Bacterial small subunit ribosomal RNA", at positions 355 to 776 of the family's 1533-position model. The record is from RNAcentral. Lineage: Bacteria; Pseudomonadati; Verrucomicrobiota.
UGAGGAAUAUUGGUCAAUGGGCGUGAGCCUGAACCAGCCAAGUAGCGUGCAGGAAGACGGCCCUAUGGGUUGUAAACUGCUUUUAUGCGGGGAUAAAGGAGUCCACGUGUGGAUUUUUGCAGGUACCGCAUGAAUAAGGACCGGCUAAUUCCGUGCCAGCAGCCGCGGUAAUACGGAAGGUCCGGGCGUUAUCCGGAUUUAUUGGGUUUAAAGGGAGCGUAGGCCGCGUUUUAAGCGUGUUGUGAAAUGUAGACGCCCAACGUCUGCAUCGCAGCGCGAACUGGGACGCUUGAGUACGCGCAACGUUGGCGGAAUUCGUCGUGUAGCGGUGAAAUACUUAGAUAUGACGAGGAACUCCGAUUGCGAAGGCAGCUGACGGGAGCGGCACUGACGCUUAAGCUCGAAGGUGCGGGUAUCAAACAGG